This 488-nucleotide ribosomal RNA is filed under the name uncultured soil bacterium. Its description in RNAcentral is "bacterial SSU rRNA". It matches the Rfam family "Bacterial small subunit ribosomal RNA", at positions 27 to 474 of the family's 1533-position model. The record is from RNAcentral.
GGAGUGAACGCUGGCGGCAGGCCUAACACAUGCAAGUCGAACGGCAGCACAGGGGAGCUUGCUCCCUGGGUGGCGAGUGGCGGACGGGUGAGGACAACGUCGGAAUCUGCCUUUUUGUGGGGGAUAACGUAGGGAAACUUACGCUAAUACCGCAUACGACCCCAGGCCGGGAGGUUUGGGGUGAAAGCGGAGGACCUUCGGGCUUCGCGCAGAAGAUGAGCCGACGUCGGAUUAGCUAGUUGGUGGGGUAAAGGCCCACCAAGGCGACGAUCCGUAGCUGGUCUGAGAGGAUGAUCAGCCACACUGGAACUGAGACACGGUCCAGACUCCGUACGGGAGGCAGCGAGGUAGGGGAAUAGUAGGACAAGUGGGCGACGAAGCCUGACGUCCAGACCCAUCGCCGCCGUGUGUGAAGACGGCCGUUCGGUUGUAAAGCUACGUUUUGGUUAGGGAAGAAAGACUACGUACGGUUAACGUACCGGUAGUCG